AUGAAAAUGCAGACAUUAAUACAUAGUGUCCAGAAAAAUUAACCUGUGAGUUGAGGUUUUAUAGAGACUAUAACCAUCUUAUUGAAUUCGUUGUAGUGCGUGAAGUCCCCAUUUUUGAGCAGUUUAACAUUGAAUGAUAGUCACUGGCCACACACAACCAAGCUACCAUUGGAUGUAUGGCUAAGGCAGAUAUUACACUCAUAC
Molecule: non-coding RNA, 204 nt
Organism: Pelobates cultripes (western spadefoot toad)
Lineage: Eukaryota; Metazoa; Chordata; Amphibia; Anura; Pelobatidae
Source: the annotation of a GenBank genome assembly